This 253-nucleotide ribosomal RNA is filed under the name uncultured bacterium. Its description in RNAcentral is "partial 16S ribosomal RNA". It matches the Rfam family "Bacterial small subunit ribosomal RNA", at positions 524 to 776 of the family's 1533-position model. The record is from RNAcentral.
UACGGGGGGAGCAAGCGUUGUUCGGAUAUACUGGGCGUAAAGCGCACGUAGGCGGCGCCGUAAGUCAGGGGUGAAAUCCCGGAGCUCAACUCCGGAACUGCCCUUGAAACUGCAGUGCUAGAAUCUUGGAGAGGUGAGUGGAAUUCCGAGUGUAGAGGUGAAAUUCGUAGAUAUUCGGAAGAACACCAGUGGCGAAGGCGACUCACUGGACACGUAUUGACGCUGAGGUGCGAAAGCGUGGGGAGCAAACAGG